UUGACAGGUUGACCUCGAAUCAGGUAGGAAUACCCGCUGAACUUAAGCAUAUCAAUAAGCAGAAUGAAAGCUGAACUUAA
This 80-nucleotide ribosomal RNA is filed under the name Erysiphe necator (grape powdery mildew). Its description in RNAcentral is "partial 28S ribosomal RNA". The record is from RNAcentral. Lineage: Eukaryota; Fungi; Ascomycota; Leotiomycetes; Helotiales; Erysiphaceae.